RNAcentral lists this long non-coding RNA (2081 nucleotides) under Manihot esculenta (cassava). Its description in RNAcentral is "long non-coding RNA (MESC_LNC008711)". Lineage: Eukaryota; Viridiplantae; Streptophyta; Magnoliopsida; Malpighiales; Euphorbiaceae. The record is from RNAcentral.
AUCCCUUUUUGAUUUGGUGUUGGACUCCUCUUUUGAUGUUGAAUUUAAUUGCAAUUGGAUUUCCUUGGAUGAGAAGCUCUUUCGUGGCUCUUGGAUUUGUGUUGGAAGUUAUUGGAUUGGAUUUGGACUUCUGAAAAUUCAGAUUUCUGUUUGCUGCCCAUUUUCCCGCUCUGCUGUAAUUUUCUGCUGUCAGAGUGAUUUGCCCGGUGCUUUGACCAGUUUCCUCAAGUGAUUGGGCAAAUCACUGGGCAGAUCGCUUUUCUGUGAGUCAGUACUCUAUGUCUUCUGCGAGUGAUUUGGCCAGUGAUCUUCGAGUUUCUUGGGCAAAUCACUGCCUAUAUCACUGCUGUCUGUUGUCUCCGGGUUUCUGCUUUAGCUUUGAUCUGGGCAGUGACUGGAGUAGAUUUUUGGGCAAAUCACUGGGCAAAUCACCCUUUUGUAAAUUUUCUGCACUUUUUCUCCAAUUUUGCAAUUUCUUCCUUUUCUGUAAAAACAAGAUAAAAACCAUAAAUUAAACUAAAAAAUGUGUAAAUAAGCAAUAAUAAUUAUGAUAAAAAUGUGGCUAAAUUAUGCUUGAUCAGCAGCAUUUGAGACGGUAUAAUAUAUUAAUUAUAGCAUCAACCUAUUUUUAAGCUUUGCGCAGAAAAAAUGAUAGUGGAGGAAGAAAAUCUGGCCACGGCUUAAGGAGUUAUCGAAGAGGAAGCUCAAGAAAUCAAGCAAGAUGUGAAUGAAUUUCAAAGAAGCAAACCCCAAGCCCCCAGCCCCCAAUAUGAGUCAUCCAAAGGAAGACUUUAUCAAUCAUCCAUCGUAAAGGACAACUACAAGAGCUCAACUUUGUGCCUAAUUGGGUAAUAUAGCCUUUGUUUCUCAAUAGAACUGAAAGCACAUGUUGACAAUUAAAAUGAUGAAAGCUGGAUUCGACCUUGAUCAAAGAAACAAGGUAUGAAAAACCAUGUUCCCAGACAUUUAUAACAUAAUUACCUUCUAGUGUUCAAUGAUGAAUUCUGCAGAGUUUUAUUUUUCUUCUUUCCUUUUCCAAUCUAUCUAUAAGCUUGAGAAAAAUCCUGACAAAAUAAUUACCUUUCAUAUUCUAAUUGAAGACUGCAGAAUUUUCUUUCGUUCUUUUCUCUUGUUCUUAAUUCUUUUGAAGUAGAUGUAUUACCUUGUGUAACCCAUUUGAUUUUUUUCUUUAAUUUUUUUUAUUUAUACCUUUACUUUCUGAAAUUUGUCAUAUCUAGCUCAUACACCCUCCCACACAGUGUUAUCGAUUCACAGACCUUCUAAUUGUUUUCAAAUGUUAAGCAUGUUUAUGAAGCUUCAUUUUCUGGACCAAUAUUCUUGUGUACUAAGAUAACUGAGAUUCUUUUCAGACAAAAUAUAUGCUGUGAAAGUUGUUUCUGCUGCGAAAGUUGUUUCUACUGCUUCCAGAUUUUCUGGUGCUACGAGUAUCUGACUGUUUUUAUCUACAUGGUCUUAGAUCUCACUGUUGUUACUUCUAGUUAACUGUUUUGCCAUGAAUGCUUUUUUUUUUCUGUCCCGUUUUUUUUUGUCAGCAGUAACGGGCUUAAGUAAGAUCAUGUAUCACUGGGAACCAAACCAUAGUUUCCUAGUACUCUGUGCAUCUAUAAGAAAAAAAUAAUGUGCAUGUUUAACCACUUUAUGUUGCAUUACAUCCUGUGAUAUAGUGGUGUAUUGACAAAGUUAACAAUUUCAGGUUCUAGAGUAGAUUUCAGUAGUUGCUUUUUCCCUGCCCUGUCAUUUCCUUAUUCAUUUUCUGAGGGGACUUUUGAAUAUUAUCUAGUUAAUCUAAUUAUUUUAUAAGCACGUUACGGAAAACGACCAUACAGGGUGAUUAUGGUGUAAUGGUAAAGUUUCUCUAUUUGUUACCUGGAGGUCACAGGAUAUGAGAUGUUCCGUUUGUUGGAUCAUGCUUUAUUAUUGGAAACAAACAAGAGAAAGCAACUCACUAAUGUAAACAGAAAACCAUGAUUAUAACGUUUCCUAUCUGAUUGUUAUAUUUUCAUAUCUGCAUUAUUUGGGUUGAGCACAGGUUUAAAUAAAUAUCCCUUAAAUUUUCAUUU